GAUGAACGCUGGCGGCGUGCCUAAUACAUGCAAGUCGAGCGAACAGACGAGGAGCUUGCUCCUCUGACGUUAGCGGCGGACGGGUGAGUAACACGUGGAUAACCUCCCUAUAAGACUGGGAUAACUUCGGGAAACCGGAGCUAAUCCCGGAUAAUAUAUUGAACCGCAUGGUUCAUUAGUAAAAGACGGUUUUUCUUUCUCUAAUAGAUGGAUCCGCGCCGCAUUAGCUAGUUGGUAAGUUAACGGCUUACCAAGGCGACGAUGCGUAGCCGACCUGAGAGGGUGAUCGGCCACACUGGAACUGAGACACGGUCCAGACUCCUACGGGAGGCAGCAGUAGGGAAUCUUCCGCAAAGGGCGAAAGCCUGACGGAGCAACGCCGCGUGAGUGAUGAAGGUCUUCGGAUCGUAAAACUCUGUUAUUAGGGAAGAACAAAUGUGUAAGUAACUAUGCACGUCUUGACGGUACCUAAUCAGAAAGCCACGGCUAACUACGUG
Molecule: ribosomal RNA, 497 nt
Filed under: uncultured bacterium
Lineage: Bacteria
Description: partial 16S ribosomal RNA
Rfam family: Bacterial small subunit ribosomal RNA
Source: RNAcentral